GUGAAUCAUCGAAUCUUUGAACGCAAAUUGCACUCUCUUCUGAGAGUAUGCCUGUUUGUGGGUCAGCCUAAAAAAAAUCGACAUAGUUGCUGUUUCGCGGUGACAUUCGUCGGUAAGUGGGUCAUCUUAAAGCUUUGGGGUUUAAGCGGCUUAAAAUUUUCUUUACGUUUCCACGAACGUUUCUCAGAUUUUUCUUUUUACACGUUUAAGGUAAUGUUCUUUAUUAGUCG
This 230-nucleotide unclassified non-coding RNA is filed under the name Glomus sp. RNAcentral describes it as "partial contains 5.8S ribosomal RNA and internal transcribed spacer 2". The stretch from base 1 to 65 matches the Rfam family "5.8S ribosomal RNA", at positions 84 to 154 of the family's 154-position model. Lineage: Eukaryota; Fungi; Glomeromycota; Glomeromycetes; Glomerales; Glomeraceae. The record is from RNAcentral.